UACGUAGGGACCAAGCGUUGUUCGGAUUUACUGGGCGUAAAGGGCGCGUAGGCGGCGCGGUAAGUCACUUGUGAAAUCUCUGAGCUUAACUCAGAACGGCCAAGUGAUACUGCAGUGCUAGAGUGUGGAAGGGGCAAUCGGAAUUCUUGGUGUAGCGGUGAAAUGCGUAGAUAUCAAGAGGAACACCGGUGGCGAAGGCGGGUCUCUGGGCCGAUACUGACGCUGAGGAGCGAAAGCGUGGGGAGCGAACAGG
RNAcentral lists this ribosomal RNA (253 nucleotides) under uncultured bacterium. RNAcentral's name for it is "partial 16S ribosomal RNA". It matches the Rfam family "Bacterial small subunit ribosomal RNA", at positions 524 to 776 of the family's 1533-position model. The record is from RNAcentral.